AAAUUGAAGAGUUUGAUCAUGGCUCAGAUUGAACGCUGGCGGCAGGCCUAACACAUGCAAGUCGAGCGGUAGCACAGAGAGCUUGCUCUCGGGUGACGAGCGGCGGACGGGUGAGUAAUGUCUGGGAAACUGCCUGAUGGAGGGGGAUAACUACUGGAAACGGUAGCUAAUACCGCAUAACGUCGCAAGACCAAAGUGGGGGACCUUCGGGCCUCAUGCCAUCAGAUGUGCCCAGAUGGGAUUAGCUAGUAGGUGGGGUAACGGCUCACCUAGGCGACGAUCCCUAGCUGGUCUGAGAGGAUGACCAGCCACACUGGAACUGAGACACGGUCCAGACUCCUACGGGAGGCAGCAGUGGGGAAUAUUGCACAAUGGGCGCAAGCCUGAUGCAGCCAUGCCGCGUGUGUGAAGAAGGCCUUCGGGUUGUAAAGCACUUUCAGCGGGGAGGAAGGCGUUAAGGUUAAUAACCUUGGCGAUUGACGUUACCCGCAGAAGAAGCACCGGCUAACUCCGUGCCAGCAGCCGCGGUAAUACGGAGGGUGCAAGCGUUAAUCGGAAUUACUGGGCGUAAAGCGCACGCAGGCGGUCUGUCAAGUCGGAUGUGAAAUCCCCGGGCUCAACCUGGGAACUGCAUUCAAAACUGGCAGGCUAGAGUCUUGUAGAGGGGGGUAGAAUUCCAGGUGUAGCGGUGAAAUGCGUAGAGAUCUGGAGGAAUACCGGUGGCGAAGGCGGCCCCCUGGACAAAGACUGACGCUCAGGUGCGAAAGCGUGGGGAGCAAACAGGAUUAGAUACCCUGGUAGUCCACGCCGUAAACGAUGUCGAUUUGGAGGUUGUGCCCUUGAGGCGUGGCUUCCGGAGCUAACGCGUUAAAUCGACCGCCUGGGGAGUACGGCCGCAAGGUUAAAACUCAAAUGAAUUGACGGGGGCCCGCACAAGCGGUGGAGCAUGUGGUUUAAUUCGAUGCAACGCGAAGAACCUUACCUGGUCUUGACAUCCACAGAACUUUCCAGAGAUGGAUUGGUGCCUUCGGGAACUGUGAGACAGGUGCUGCAUGGCUGUCGUCAGCUCGUGUUGUGAAAUGUUGGGUUAAGUCCCGCAACGAGCGCAACCCUUAUCCUUUGUUGCCAGCGGUCCGGCCGGGAACUCAAAGGAGACUGCCAGUGAUAAACUGGAGGAAGGUGGGGAUGACGUCAAGUCAUCAUGGCCCUUACGACCAGGGCUACACACGUGCUACAAUGGCAUAUACAAAGAGAAGCGACCUCGCGAGAGCAAGCGGACCUCAUAAAGUAUGUCGUAGUCCGGAUUGGAGUCUGCAACUCGACUCCAUGAAGUCGGAAUCGCUAGUAAUCGUAGAUCAGAAUGCUACGGUGAAUACGUUCCCGGGCCUUGUACACACCGCCCGUCACACCAUGGGAGUGGGUUGCAAAAGAAGUAGGUAGCUUAACCUUCGGGAGGGCGCUUACCACUUUGUGAUUCAUGACUGGGGUGAAGUCGUAACAAGGUAACCGUAGGGGAACCUGCGGUUGGAUCACCUCCUUA
Molecule: ribosomal RNA, 1540 nt
Filed under: Klebsiella pneumoniae
Lineage: Bacteria; Pseudomonadati; Pseudomonadota; Gammaproteobacteria; Enterobacterales; Enterobacteriaceae
Description: 16S ribosomal RNA
Rfam family: Bacterial small subunit ribosomal RNA
Source: RNAcentral